CCCAGGUAUGCUAUCUGUUCUCAGGAUCUGCUCAUUGGCUGCUGGGGGUAAUAGGAAUGACCUCAGUGGUGGGUUUUGAGGUUUUUUUGUUUGUUUUUUUCUUUUUCCUUCUAAGAACAAUUCAUUUGGUCACAUAAUUAGUAUAAAAGUGGCUGGUGUUGAGCAACCUCCCCCUCCCCCUUCCCUGGCCUCUGGCAGUGACAUUUGAGGCGCUGUCUCCUGGGGCCACAGAGGAUGCUGCCUGGGCAGUUCAAAGGGUUGGCUCUGCUCCCUGCCCAGCCCCGCCCACUUCCCCUCACCGCCUCCCUCACUUGCCAAGCUUGGCCAGCCUCCCAUCGAGGACUGAGGUCCCGCCCCAGUGGCCUGAGUGGAGCCCCUUCUGCACCUCUCCGCCUCACCCCUCUGCUGUCCAGCUCAGAUGGCAGGGAGGGGCCAGAGUAGAACGGUGUGGGAAGAGGACUGAACCGUUCCCUUCUCAUCCCACCCGGCCACGUGUGUGUGGCCACCCCUGCCACUGCUCUGCCGACUCCACGGCACCUUCCAUGUGCCACUGACCACGGGGCAGCACUGAGAAGGGUGACAAGGAUAUGCCAGCCUUCAGGCUUGCAGUGCCGAGAAGGGGAAGACCAGGCAACGGUGAUGUCAACCAGGGAAUUAAGCAAGCAGAGGAGCCGAUAACAUCACCCCGCAAAGCUCGCCGUGGGCAAGGUGACUCAUCGAAGACCGGCCCCACAAGCACAGGGUGAUUGUUGUUGUGCCCAGCCUGUAGGACUAAGGAGGAAGAAGGGGGCCGGGACGGGCUCCUCACCGAGUCCUCCGCUCGGUGGAGAGGUCUCAGAACACAGUGUCCUCCGCCAUCAGAGCUCCCUGCUGGCUCAGGAAACAGCCCUCCCUCCUGCUGUGGUGAUAAUCUCUGUCCGCAGCGUUUGGUGUGUGUUUGUGGGGUAUGUCUGGGUGAUUUCCCCACCCGCAUCCCACAGGGGUGCUCCAGGUACUAGAGAUUGCUAACAGCAGAACGCUCGCUCCCCCUGGUUGGACGACCGUCUGUGGAGACAAUGCCACCGGAUGGCAGACUGCUAACCGCGACCACGUGGCGUCCUCAUGGUGGGUACAGCCUGUUCCUCCUGCUGCAGGCACCUGUCGAGCUGCCUCGACUCCUCGCUCCCUCACCCCCUCCGGUCUGCAGAAGGGGCCAAAACUGUUGUGUUCCUCCCAUCCCCAGAGUCACCUUGUAUUGUCGUCCAAGUUGAGAGCUGAACAACUGGAGGGGACACCAUUUACUUUACAGUCUAUGUGCCAGACCUCAUGUCUGCGCGUGCUGGCCCUGCCCCUUCUCUUUCCUAAAUUACUUCUCACUCCCCACCCCCACCUAGAAUUAUCUAUUUGGUUUGCCCUUAGCAAGUUCAUCUUUACGCUAAACUAUCCCCCCAUAAAGCAUAAGACUCUUCCUUUA
Felis catus (domestic cat) is the source of this 1453-nucleotide long non-coding RNA. RefSeq lists it as uncharacterized. The record is from RefSeq and is a predicted model, not a curated record. The transcript is spliced from 2 exons. NCBI's taxonomy places the organism in Eukaryota, Metazoa, Chordata, Mammalia, Carnivora, Felidae.